Hevea brasiliensis (rubber tree) is the source of this 783-nucleotide long non-coding RNA. RefSeq lists it as uncharacterized. The record is from RefSeq and is a predicted model, not a curated record. The transcript is spliced from 2 exons. NCBI's taxonomy places the organism in Eukaryota, Viridiplantae, Streptophyta, Magnoliopsida, Malpighiales, Euphorbiaceae.
UAAUUAAGAACCAAUUUUUUCAUGAUUAUAUUGGCUUCGUCCCUAAUUUGGGUUAAGCACCUUGGACAAGGGAUUAAGCGAGUGACAAAGACAGAGUACCAAGGGGACAUAUUUUCUUGCAUCAUUAUCCUGAAAGGGAAUGGAAAGGAAAGGAGAUGAAGGAACAGUAAUGUUAAAGUCACCUCAGUCUAAGCAAACACCCCUCCAUGAUUUUAACUCCCUCCCUAUAAUUCCUUCCAACCUUUCACCUACCAUUUGAAGAACUAAACCCACAUCUUCCAGAUGGGGUGGCUUCACUUCCUCGUCUCCCCCUUGAAGAAGUUUUGGGAUCGUCUGCAUUUUGGCCACAGAAAGCGUAGAGGGAUAUACAUUCUGUACAAGGACGUGAAGUCUUGCCCAUGUGAAGAUGUGCAUGUCCUGUGGUCAAUCCUGGUUGAAUCUCACCAGCCAACAUCUUUGCCAUCGAAAUGAUAUAUAAAAUACACAGGUCCUGCAGGAGUCCCUGCUUCUCAGGUGGUGGUUCUUCUGUUCUAUUUAGUUAUUAACUACAUUCUAAGCUGAGUCUGGCUACAUGGAAUCCAUGAACAGGAAUGUUGUGAAGCAUAGGUAAUUGGCCAAGUAUGGUUUGCCUUGGCAUUUGCCAAAGAUGGUAGCCGAUAACAAUGCUCUAUAUAUAUGCGUGCAUAGAUACAUAUGCAGAGCAACUGCAUUAUGUUAAUGUAUACUCAGAAGAAAGUUUAACUUAUUGUAUAAAUUGAAUAAUGUGACAUCUAGAUUCUAUUA